RNAcentral lists this ribosomal RNA (577 nucleotides) under uncultured bacterium. RNAcentral's name for it is "bacterial SSU rRNA". It matches the Rfam family "Bacterial small subunit ribosomal RNA", at positions 338 to 907 of the family's 1533-position model. The record is from RNAcentral.
CCUACGGGAGGCAGCAGUAGGGAAUCUUCGGCAAUGGACGGAAGUCUGACCGAGCAACGCCGCGUGAGUGAAGAAGGUUUUCGGAUCGUAAAGCUCUGUUGUAAGAGAAGAACGAGUGUGAGAGUGGAAAGUUCACACUGUGACGGUAUCUUACCAGAAAGGGACGGCUAACUACGUGCCAGCAGCCGCGGUAAUACGUAGGUGGCAAGCGUUGUCCGGAAUUAUUGGGCGUAAAGCGCGCGCAGGUGGUUUAAUAAGUCUGAUGUGAAAGCCCACGGCUCAACCGUGGAGGGUCAUUGGAAACUGUUAAACUUGAGUGCAGGAGAGAAAAGUGGAAUUCCUAGUGUAGCGGUGAAAUGCGUAGAGAUUAGGAGGAACACCAGUGGCGAAGGCGGCUUUUUGGCCUGUAACUGACACUGAGGCGCGAAAGCGUGGGGAGCAAACAGGAUUAGAUACCCUGGUAGUCCACGCCGUAAACGAUGAGUGCUAAGUGUUGGUCUCAUAAGAGAUCAGUGCUGCAGCUAACGCAUUAAGCACUCCGCCUGGGGAGUACGACCGCAAGGUUGAAACUCAAAGG